UGGGGAAUUUUGGACAAUGGGCGAAAGCCUGAUCCAGCAAUGCCGCGUGUGUGAAGAAGGCCUUCGGGUUGUAAAGCACUUUUGUCCGGAAAGAAAUCCUUGGCUCUAAUACAGUCGGGGGAUGACGGUACCGGAAGAAUAAGCACCGGCUAACUACGUGCCAGCAGCCGCGGUAAUACGUAGGGUGCAAGCGUUAAUCGGAAUUACUGGGCGUAAAGCGUGCGCAGGCGGUUUGCUAAGACCGAUGUGAAAUCCCCGGGCUCAACCUGGGAACUGCAUUGGUGACUGGCAGGCUAGAGUAUGGCAGAGGGGGGUAGAAUUCCACGUGUAGCAGUGAAAUGCGUAGAGAUGUGGAGGAAUACCGAUGGCGAAGGCAGCCCCCUGGGCCAAUACUGACGCUCAUGCACGAAAGCGUGGGGAGCAAACAGGAUUAGAUACCCUGGUAGUCCCACGCCCUAAACGAUGUCAACUAGUUGUUGGGGAUUCAUUUCCUUAGUAACGUAGCUAACGCGUGAAGUUGACCGCCUGGGGAGUACGGUCGCAAGAUUAAAACUC
This 555-nucleotide ribosomal RNA is filed under the name uncultured bacterium. RNAcentral describes it as "partial 16S ribosomal RNA". It matches the Rfam family "Bacterial small subunit ribosomal RNA", at positions 355 to 902 of the family's 1533-position model. The record is from RNAcentral.